This 231-nucleotide long non-coding RNA is filed under the name Elaeis guineensis (African oil palm). RNAcentral's name for it is "long non-coding RNA (EGUI_LNC072530)". Lineage: Eukaryota; Viridiplantae; Streptophyta; Magnoliopsida; Arecales; Arecaceae. The record is from RNAcentral.
CAGCCUUCAGCUUAUGCAGCUGGGCAUUGUCCACCCUUCGGGUGGCCUAAGCGGCCUUUUCAUCGACUUUCCUUGAGAUUCAUCAAGCUUCAUAGACCUUCUCCAAAAAAUGAUCGAAGUGGUGGAUGAGCUACAAAAAAAAAGAAGAAGAGAGAAUAGGUCAGCAAAAAGUAGUUAAGAAGAAAGGAUCAGAAAGAGCCGAGGAAGGUUGAUAGAUCGUCACUUACCCAG